CAGCAGCCGCGGUAAUACGUAGGUGGCAAGCGUUGUCCGGAAUUACUGGGUGUAAAGGGUGCGCAGGCGGGACUGCAAGUUGGAUGUGAAAUACCGGGGCUCAACCCCGGGGCUGCAUCCAAAACUGUGGUUCUUGAGUGAAGUAGAGGUAAGCGGAAUUCCGAGUGUAGCGGUGAAAUGCGUAGAUAUUCGGAGGAACACCAGUGGCGAAGGCGGCUUACUGGGCUUUAACUGACGCUGAGGCACGAAAGCAUGGGUAGCAAACAGGAUUAGAUACCCUGGUAGUCCAUGCCGUAAACGAUGAUUGCUAGGUGUGGGGGGACUGACCCCUCCCGUGCCGGAGUUAACACAAUAAGCAAUCCACCUGGGGAGUACGACCGCAAGGUUGAAACUCAAAGGAAUUGACGGGGGCCCGCACAAGCAGUGGAGUAUGUGGUUUAAUUCGAAGCAACGCGAAGAACCUUACCAGGUCUUGACAUCCAACUAACGAAGUAGAGAUACAUUAGGUGCCCUUCGGGGAAAGUUGAGACAGGAGGUGCAUGGCC
RNAcentral lists this ribosomal RNA (545 nucleotides) under uncultured archaeon. RNAcentral describes it as "bacterial SSU rRNA". It matches the Rfam family "Bacterial small subunit ribosomal RNA", at positions 509 to 1050 of the family's 1533-position model. The record is from RNAcentral.